Molecule: ribosomal RNA, 447 nt
Filed under: uncultured organism
Description: partial 16S ribosomal RNA
Rfam family: Bacterial small subunit ribosomal RNA
Source: RNAcentral
UACACUCCUACGGGAGGCAGCAGUGGGGAAUAUUGGACAAUGGGCGCAAGCCUGAUCCAGCCAUGCCGCGUGAGUGAUGAAGGCCCUAGGGUUGUAAAGCUCUUUCACCGGUGAAGAUAAUGACGGUAACCGGAGAAGAAGCCCCGGCUAACUUCGUGCCAGCAGCCGCGGUAAUACGAAGGGGGCUAGCGUUGUUCGGAUUUACUUGGCGUAAAGCGCACGUAGGCGGACUAUUAAGUCAGGGGUGAAAUCCCGGGGCUCAACCCCGGAACUGCCUUUGAUACUGGUAGUCUUGAGUUCGAGAGAGGUGAGUGGAAUUCCGAGUGUAGAGGUGAAAUUCGUAGAUAUUCGGAGGAACACCAGUGGCGAAGGCGGCUCACUGGCUCGAUACUGACGCUGAGGUGCGAAAGCGUGGGGAGCAAACAGGAUUAGAUACCCGAGUAGUCC